Molecule: ribosomal RNA, 510 nt
Filed under: Glomus sp. Glo28
Lineage: Eukaryota; Fungi; Glomeromycota; Glomeromycetes; Glomerales; Glomeraceae
Description: SSU rRNA
Rfam family: Eukaryotic small subunit ribosomal RNA
Source: RNAcentral
AGCAGCCGCGGUAAUUCCAGCUCCAAUAGCGUAUAUUAAAGUUGUUGCAGUUAAAAAGCUCGUAGUUGAAUUUCGGGGUUAGUAGGUUGGUCAUGCCUCUGGUCUGUACUGAUGUCACUGAUUCCUACCUGUCUGAAUAACCGGCAUGCCAUUAAUUUGGUGCGCCGGGGAAGCAGGACUGUUACCUUGAAAAAAUUAGAGUGCUUAAAGCAGGCUAACGCUUGAAUACAUUAGCAUGGAAUAAUGAAAUAGGACGUUCGAUCCUAUUUUGUUGGUUUCUAGGAUUGACGUAAUGAUUAAUAGGGAUAGUUGGGGGCAUUAGUAUUCAAUUGUCAGAGGUGAAAUUCUUGGAUUUAUUGAAGACUAACUACUGCGAAGAGCAUUUGCCAAGGAUGUUUUCAUUAAUCAAGAACGAAAGUUAGGGGAUCGAAGACGAUCAGAUACCGUCGUACUCUUAACCAUAAACUAACCGAUCUAGGGAUCGGAUGAUGUUAAUUUUUUAAUGACUCA